AACAGUGCUUGUAGAUCAGAAAAAUGGUACUCUAAUGGAAAAGUAUGGAUGGAGUUGGAUGACUGUUUCUGGACUUGAGUCUGUCUGAAGGUGGAAGCUGGGUUAUUUGCUGCUUUUAUAUGUGUGCUUGAGAUCUGAGAUAUGCUUUGCUAAUGUAGAACUUUGGUAGUGUGUGUUUCCCCUCUCCAAGUGGAUAAAGGUGGACUUGCUAUUGGACCAUUCACCUGCUUUAAAAUUAAUGCCUUGCAAAUACAAACAUUUCUAUUAAGUUUCUCUUAAAAUAUACAGUGCAAUAGAAUUUUGUUAUCAAUGCAACAGAAUCAAAAUGACAAAAUAAUGUCCUAAAUAGCUUCAAUUUGCAGACUUGCAGUGACAAGAAAGAACUAGGUUUAGUCAGUUUCAUGAUCAUGAAAAAGCUCACAUUAAAUAGUGGCUCUAUAUUUUACUUCUGUUUGUCAUUACAAAUAUCAACAACAGGGGUGGACUGAUUUUAGGUUUGCAGGAUCUGCUUUGUUUUUCAUCAGAACCCAGGUCUACCAAUUGGAGUCAAAUGUGAAAUAGUGGCUCAAGAUGUUAGACAUAACCCAGAAAUUUGUUUCCAGUACUAGAACUGCUUUCUAGAUUUUAGCAGCCUAAUUUAGUAGGGAAAAGGUGAUUUGUUUCUACUGCUCUUAAAUCAUUGUGAGUUGGGAAUCGCUGCUAAUGUAGUCUGAAUCACCCAGAGAUCCACCUGUAUAUCCUGAUUGACUUUCUCCCUACCCGUUCUUCAGUACUGUGAGUUCUACCAGGAUGCAUUCUGGAUCACCACCAAUGAUUAAAAAGGGGCAUUUAGGAAAUACAAACUACAUAUUUAUAUCCUUUGACAGAUAUUUCAUUAUUAAGCACUUUCAAUCAACCAUCAGAACUUCUCCAUUAAAGAAGUUUCUUCUAGGAGUGUGUGCUUGUCCUUCCCUUUUCAGCCUUUCUUCUGUCUAUAAACACUGAUGGAAACUCACCUAUCUUCUUACAAGGUAAGGCAGGCUGUAUUUCUCACUGUACAUCAUUUCUGUAUGUAAGGAAGAAUAUUAUUGUAAUACAAUGUGGUCAGUUUUCCACUCCUUUUUAUAAGGAUAAUCUUUGUGGAUUAAAGUGAAAAAUGUAUUGAAUACGAAUCUUGAUAAUAUUGGAAGGUUAUAUUUUACAUAAUGCUUAUCCUAGCUAUCUUUAUAUUUGCUGGGGAACUGGGGUGGAUUGAUUCAGGUCAAGAUUAGAAAGCAGAUAAAUCAUUGCAAUGAAAAGAGUUUUUAUGCUGAGGAUGGGGAAUGUGUGUCCCUCAGAUAUUGUGGGACUACACUUCCAGUCUUCUCUCACCAUUGGCUAUGUUGACUGAGGCUGAUGCAGUUCAGCCUCACCUGGAUGGCCAUAUGUUCCCCACUUGAACCAGGAACAUAAUAUAAUGCCAAAGAAGAAUGUAAUACAAAACCUUCCCCACAUGGUUUACAUGCAUUUUGAAUGCCAGAAUUUUUAUUUGCUUACAGGUGCAGUUCUGAAAGUGAGAAGAAAGAUUUUAAAAUGUUGCUCUUUAUCCAUAUUACAUACAACUUUAUUUAUGCUAUUCAUUUAUGACUUUUGUAUGCCAUCCCAUAACAACGUUUUCUUCCUAAUUCCCUGAAAGGUUUGUUCUACAAAAGACUCGUCUUCUUAAUGUACACUGUCAUUUUAAAGAAAAAUGAUGGUCAUUUAAAUAUUUCCUGUAUCGUAAUGACCUUUCUAGAACAUGCUUUGAGAAGUUUUAUCUGGCAUCAGUCAAUAAGGUAAGUGAAUGGAGUUGCUGUCUGUGAUCCUUCUAAAAGGCAAGAUAAUCAAAUUGACAUUUUCAUAAAGGAUGAGCUCUUCAUAUUUAUCACUGGCAUUGGAUCUACCUUCAUUUUCUGCGAAAGAUUCUUGAGUGAGAUAGACUGGAACAAAAAGGAAUAGGAAGGAUGAGUAAGAGCAUCAAACAAGCACAGACCAGAGUAGCUUUCUCUUGGGAGCUACAUUUCCCCUUCCCUUUUCAAAACAACAGACUGUUCUUCAGCAAAAACUCUUUAUUCUCCAGUGUACAUCCAGUAGCAAAGAAAGAGUCUCUGAGCAUGCACAGAGCCAAUUUUGAACCCAAACUGCAAACUACUUCCAAGAACCCUGCUUUUGAGAAACUGACAGUAUCUGCACUAGCUUUAUGCCUUGGGCUAACCAGAGAAACUUUAACAGCCUGGGAAAGGUUAGUAGACUGGAAUAUAACCUAUGAAGAUGAAACUUGGUUAUGAAGGUGUGUCUGUUUGUACAGUAUACCCUGCCAAACUCUUCUACAUUCUGCAACUAAAAGAUGGAAUUUUAUAAUGAAAUGAUAAUUCCUAAAUUCAGUCAAAACAGGAAUUCUUUCAAGAGCAAGCUCAUAGCAGCAGAAUUAAAGGCUUGAAAGAUUCUGUUGUCAUGACAGUCAAAAACUGAGUGUCGUGUAUGGAUUGCUGUAGGAGCAUUAAAUAAAUUAACUGCUUCUCUUAAUGACAAGUUUUAGACAUUUUGGUUCACCUUUCCAUGGUUGGAUGGACAUUUUAAAUUGCCUGUGCAUUUUCCAAUUUGUGUAGUGUGAUUUAAGAUGCUCAUAAAUUAUUUUUUCCAAUAUUUCAGAUCUAAAAUAUUCACAUCUGUCCUGUUGAGAGAAUGCACUGAUUUUGGGGCUCUAAAGUGCCUGCCUAUGGUGUUCACCGUGAAUGCAGUAAACUACAUUUAUCUUUUUUUGCGAAUAUGCUCAUUACUUCUUUUCCUUGUAAUUGGUAAUUUUCAGUAUGUUAAGAUACUUCCACAGUGAAAACUGUUUCAAUCUUAGGUUUUUCUCAUUUUGUGGAAGGUAUAUAAAAUUAAUGAAUAUCUAAAGCAAGAAAUGGGUUUAGAAAAUGAAGAUAACUUUCAAAUAUAUAAUAAUCUGAAGUCAAACCCUGUGAAACAAUUAGCUAAUAGUGUUCGUGGCUUCAGUGACAGGCUCUCAAGACCAUUCAGAGAAGUUAGAUUCUAGCUGUAGGUACCUGUCUGCAACCACAUUAUUGUUGAAAGGAUGCUCUUUCUUUGAUUGCUUUCAAAUCAUGCUGGUUUGGUACUAUAUAAUGCUAUUGACAGAGUGUUACUGCAGAAGAUACCCAUUUGCAUUCAUUGGCGGAUCAGAGGAAGCCACCAGACUAAUGGGAUGCAUUAUUAGACUGCAUCCCUGGCUAGGGGAAACCCAGUUCUGUCCUUGUGAUGAUGCUGGGAUGUGGCAUCUGGGAAUUUACUUUGUCUAUCUUUUCCUGGGCAUUUUCAAGCCCUGCUGCUGUACCACUUCAAAUAUUCAUGAUGAAUGGUAUUGGUGCCAGUGGGCAUUCUCUGUUGACACAGGCGUUAUAUGUAUUUGUAUGGUUUUCAAAGAUGUCAGGGCCAUAUGUCCAUAAAUUUUUGACUGUGACAUUGCAUUUUUCUCUUUGACUACAUUCAUAUUUUUGAUCACACUAUAUAUAUGUUGACGGCUGUUAACAUAUAUUUAUGAAGUCUUUUAAUGGCCAAUGAAGAGAGUAUAUAAUUGUUUUUAAAAUACCUUGAAAAAUGAUAUAUUACAAAGCAGGGGACCUCAAACUUUUUCAAUAGGGGACCAGUUGAAAGGUGGUAGCUACACGCGUGGGCUGUUGAGGGGGGGGGUGCCUGGGAGCACUGGCCAGUGAGGCAUCAUCGGAUGCACAUGAGGCUGCAACUCACUCGCUCGGAGAUCUCUCAAUGAGUCCAAAACCAUCUCUGAGCGAGCAAGCCACCGCCUCCCGCCUGCGCGGCGUGGGCCGGAUGAAAGGGCAUGGCGGGCCGGAUCCAUCCCAUGGGCCAUAGUUUGAGGACCCAUGCUACAAAGGAACGUAUAGCUAUGCUUGAAUGCCAUAGCAAAAGAACACAGACUAUGUUCAGAUGUAAUGCUAAGUCAUGGUUUAGAUUGCAUGAAUGAGACCAGCUUCCUCCUGGGCCUGUGUGCUCCCCAUCUCCUCUUCCGAUGCCUCUGAGAGUAAGGAAGCCUUUAUUUCUGCUUUUAGUUAGCCACAGUGGAUGGGUUUGCACUUAAGGGUAAACCACCCUGGAGAAUAUGCUACAGCCAGGCUUGCUGUGCUUCGUUCUCCCACUCCUUCCUCCUCAGGCCUCUUGCCAGUUGUGGCACCCUCCAGGGGACUCACACCAGAAUUCCUCUUUAUCCUUGCACCAAUCCUCUGUUUCAAUCAUUAUCUCUGCUUUUCUGGAUUUUUACUCUUUUGGAGCUUCAAACAAGCCCAAUUGAACAUAUUUUUUGGUCUUUUGCAAGUGUAAGUGGCUGUACAACUGUGCAAUGUGUGCUCUUUGUCCAGUCAAUUCCUUGCAUGGUUCAACUGUCAAAAGGAGCUUGAAGAAGAAACAGUGCAGGGUAGGAAGAUUAAAGCAGGGCAAGAGGCUUUGAAACUCCAUCAUGGUUGCUUCCCCUCAGUUUUCCAGGCCAACCAUGAUGGAGUUCUAUGUACUCGUGUAGUUUUGGAUUUGUGGUUCUAAAAGUCAGUCCACGUGCCACCUUAGGAAAUUAGUGAGAAUAUAUAUAAAGAAUGGUAUCUUAUAUAGCACCAUGAUCUGCUGUUCUGAGCAAAAAAUAUCCCCCACUCCAAAUCCUGUACAGUAUUUCUUUGGAUCAUUGCAUUAUUUCUCGACUACAUUUAAUCUCAAUAUGCCUGUUAUAUCACACACAUGUACACAUGCAUAAUUUCUAAUGCAAAAUAGGUAUAAUCCAAAUUUGGUCCUGUUUGUUAAGUAAAUGCAAGAAAAUAUCUGAUCCUGGUAUUUUUUGCAUAGUUUCAACAUUUUAGAAAUGCUGUGUCUGUUGCUCUGCUUUUGUGUUAGUCAUCCAAAUAUUACAUAUUUGAAAGAUGAAGAACAAUGUUGUAGAGAAAUUACACAAGAAAGCUUCUUAGGCUACAUAUAAACAUAUUACUAUAACUGAAUUUACUAUUUGAUGAUGAUCAUACACUGUGAACUGCCCUGAUUUAGUUCCAGGCCAUAACUGUAUCUUUUUAAAAAUUCUAUAAUUAGAACUUGUUGGCACAUUUGUGCAACCUGUUUACUUGCUCAAGCAUAAGCUGUGCUCUAAAAUUGAUAAAACAGCCUGCAGGGAGAACUUGCAAACAAAGAUGUUAAAAUCAAGGUCCAUAGCACCCUUUGUAGAUUAUAGUUUCAGGGUGCAGUCCUGUGGAUUUCAGACAGAAAAAAUCCUACAGUUUCUAGUAUCCCCUAGUUAGAUAUGCUAGACUUCUGGGUACUGUCUUCAAAUAACGUAUCACUGUUUUCCUGAACUAUUGAAUAACAAUUUAUUCCAGCUUUGUGAAAUAGAUGAAUUUCUGAUUUCUUAUUCAAACAGAUUCUGCUGGGUUGAAAGUAUACAUGGCAAUGAUGAGGCAAACUGGAGAGAAACCUAAUAAUCAUGUUCUUCCCAACCUCUUGAAUUGCAUGGAAUGAUAAUGAGCUUUCAAAGCUUCUCUCGGAGGAAGCACUCUGAGAUGUUAAGCACAGUUUCAGGGUCCAUACUGGGAGAGACACUCCUUCAGAUAACCUAUUCUGCAAUGUCUAUUGCCUUUUGCUCUUGGAUGGAAAGAAAGAAGUUCUUCUUUUUUCACUGAAGCAAUUAUGGAUCAGAAUGCAUAAACUUAAGGGGACCAUAGCCUUUGUCUUGGAGCAAAUCUCUGCCUUUCAUUUACCUCAGUGGGCUACAACCUGGUUGAAUUAUGCUAGGUUGCAGUCAGUUAUGAAUAAUCCAUAUGGAAAUACCCUUAGGUAAGAUUUAUUUCUGGCAGUUUUUGUAUCAUGCCCUUUAUUAGGUAGAAAUUGUAACAUACAAUAAAUUACAAAAAAGUAAUUAAAUUAAAAUGCAAGGAAGAUGGCUGAUAUUUUCUUGACAUGCUAAAGGAAAAGCACAUUCUUUUGCUCUUUUAUGAUUUCCUUGGUUUUGUUUAGGGACCAUUUUUAUGAUUGUUUUUUUUUUUCAAAUGUUUCCUUUUAAAAAGAUACAACACCUUGGUUGAUAUAUACAAACAUGAAACUGAAUUCUGUGCAUAUUUUGAAUUCUGAGUUUCAGCUUGGUGACAUUAAGUGUGGAGUGGUUUAAAUUACUAACACACGAAAGUGGGAUGACUGCAUGUUGGAUUUAGAAUUGUAUUAGGAAAUGAAAUAAGGCUGCACCUUGGGAAAGGCAUGUAUAAAUAAGAUUUGACAUUUCCUCCUCCUGCCUCCUCACAAAGCCUCAUGCCAUUUUGAUUUACUGAUUAUUAUCUUCAGGGUUUUGAUGAGACUUAAAACGGUCCUCUCUUGCUCUAGAAAAACCCACAAAGCUCACUGGUACAGAUUCAAACCAGCCUCUGGCGUUAGAAAGUCUCUCUCACUGAAAGGCAGGUUUUGGCAGUCUGUGAGAUCAUCAGCUAGAUAAAAGCUUUAAAGCCAAGUUAUGUCCUUUGCCCUUCUGGAAAUUAACUUUCUGGUGUCAGCCUGAAUAUGUAAACAUUAAUCAAUAAGCUUUUGGUUUCAGAAAUAGUCUGUUGUCCUUAUCCUGUCAUUUGAAGCUUAUUUUGGAUUGCAUUUUUAUGUCAUGUUAUGUAUUCUUUUUAUUAGUCUUAUUCAUGCGAUGCUUUUCUUCUGUUCCUGCCAUUCUCAACAAUAAAAAAUUCUUUUUGCUCAGGCCAGAUGCCCUCUUGAGAACUCUCCCUUUUUGUCUAAAUUUAUCAUGGACACAAACACAUUCAGUGCUAUCUGUAGCCUGAUUAUUCUAUGCUACUCAUUUUUAAAAUUUAAUUUAUAUGUCACAGUAUUCUCUUUAUUCACCUAAUCAGUGGCUAUAUAGUAAUUCUGUUAAAAAGCAAAGGACCAUUUUGAUUCUGCUCUUGAUGUCCUUAAGUAAAUUACUAUUAAUACUGGAAUAACCAGUGCUGCAAUUAUUUACUCUCAUGCAGUGGACAACUUGUAGGCAACUUGCAGCCUAUGGCUCCCAUGGGCCAGCAUAGCCAAUGGUGAGGGCAGAUGGGAAUUGUGGGCAGAAACAUCUGGAGGGCCAAAAGUUGACUGCUGCAUUGUAAUAAAAUAUUGUGGUGGUGAUUAUUCUAGUAUUAGCACUAGCAAUGCACUGAGUGCUUAAAGGUAAAAUCUUAAACAAAAGUAGCCAGAAAAAAAGUUUCAACUCCAGCAUGUCCCAAUCAGCAUCACUACAUUUGCAUAGGCUUGCAAUAACCCUAACCCUUAAUGUAAGCUAAUCAGUAAAUAAGUCGCACUGAUUUCAGUGUGCCUGGUCUAAGUAUGACUAUAUCUCAACUUAGGUUUUUACAACAAUCUGACGUAAUUAUUCAGCAAUGACUUAGGGCAUGGAUAGGGUUUCUUUCUAUAUAAGUUUUGGGAUUAAAUCUCUACAUUUAUUAUUGUAUUUUGUUGAAUAUACCUAUGUGGGAAUCCACUAAUAAGUUCAAUUUCUGUACAUGUGGAAAAGUAAAAAGUCUAUAUGGGUGCCUUAAACCAGCAGUAUGUCAGUUGAUCUAGGUAUAAUUUAAAUGGUUGCUGAAUUGAAUCUGGCAUUUUAUAUCCAAGAAUUUAAGACCUGUAUCAAUGUAUGCUAUGGACUGUGUUGUUUCAUAACUAGAUACUGUGCAUUGAAAUGGCAGAAUAGUGCGUAAAUGUCUUUUA
Molecule: long non-coding RNA, 7707 nt
Organism: Varanus komodoensis (Komodo dragon)
Lineage: Eukaryota; Metazoa; Chordata; Lepidosauria; Squamata; Varanidae
Exons: 3
Source: RefSeq, a predicted model, not a curated record